GGCAUCCUACGGGACGCAGCAGUGGGGGAUAUUGCACAAUGGGGGAAACCCUGAUGCAGCGACGCCGCGUGGGUGAAGAAGCGCCUCGGCGCGUAAAGCCCUGUCAGCAGGGAAGAAAAUGACGGUACCUGACUAAGAAGCCCCGGCUAACUACGUGCCAGCAGCCGCGGUAAUACGUAGGGGGCAAGCGUUAUCCGGAUUUACUGGGUGUAAAGGGAGCGUAGACGGCAGAGCAAGUCUGAAGUGAAAGCCCGCGGCCCAACUGCGGGACUGCUUUGGAAACUGCCCGGCUAGCGUGCUGGAGG
RNAcentral lists this ribosomal RNA (305 nucleotides) under uncultured bacterium. RNAcentral's name for it is "bacterial SSU rRNA". It matches the Rfam family "Bacterial small subunit ribosomal RNA", at positions 333 to 655 of the family's 1533-position model. The record is from RNAcentral.